Molecule: long non-coding RNA, 1159 nt
Organism: Zeugodacus cucurbitae (melon fly)
Lineage: Eukaryota; Metazoa; Arthropoda; Insecta; Diptera; Tephritidae
Exons: 2
Source: RefSeq, a predicted model, not a curated record
GGGCGAUAACAAAAGAGCCCACCAAGUCAUGGGUACUGAAACUCCAACACAUUCAAAGAAAUUUUAAUAACACCACUACAUACACACUUACACAACAAAGGGUAAAAUGUGCAUAAACAUUUAACUCAACUCUUCUCUCAUACAUCACCCUGAAUGAUAGAAAGAAACAACCAAAGUUCUCGUGUUUGAACAAGUUUUGUUUUGAGCUAUAUCAUGGCUGCUUGUGAAGUAUUAUUUUGCGUGUUUUAUUUAAUUCAGUGAUCUGCAGCCUAAUUAAAGUUUAAAUUUUUGAAGCACGCAUAUUUAAAUAAGUAAAACGUAAAAUAAAGGUUUUCUAAAGCCAAAAUAUGGAAUUGAUGAGGGUGAUACAGAAAUAGUUCAUUGCACUGUCAAUUCGAAGCACGCAAUAGAAGCUACGCCAACAAUGGUCAACAUCAAUGGCGAAACCAUUGAAUACAUAUUUCAAACCUCAUAUGGCGCGUUAAAGGUACGCAAACUUAUUGGUGUCACUUAUUGUAGCAGCGUAGAACUUUCGAAGCGAUGGAAUAUGUGCUGCAAGCAAAUCCAAAACUAUGGACGCAAACGCUGCUACAUGGAACACAAAUCAUUCACACACCAGAUAUUACGUUUAAUGUCACUUUUUUGCGUGCAAUUAAACCUUUUGGUCAACACAAGCACGAGAAUUGGAACGACAUGGCGUGUUUCAACUGGGUUUUGCCAAUGAGCUAGAGGGCAAAGCAGUUUCAGUAUCUUUGAGCUUACCGGCACUUGGCACAUAUGCACUGUUUAAAGCAAUUAUUUGAUCGUCUCCAGGGCACUUUAAUCAUGGGCAAUAAAGUGCUGAACACAAAGACGACGACACGACCCGACGUAGCGACUGCUGAUCACAAAUGUCGCUUUGAAGCCAGCGUCUUGAACAUUUUGAAGACGGCAGCGACAUAUCAAACUGCAAUUUCAUUGUUGCCGUACUAAAACCUUUCAUUUCAAUAAAAUUUACAUAUUUAGUUUAAAGUGAAAUUAUUUGCGCAAGAGAUGUAAAAAUUGUCGAUUUAUUUGUUUUAAAUAAUCGAUUGUUAUUAUAAAUGAUAUAUCAAAGUUAUUUUACGUUUCUGCUGGCAAAAUAACGUCAUACUUGUUAGAACUUUGAAUAAUUUUACAU